GACGAACGCUGGCGGCGUGCUUAACACAUGCAAGUCGAACGGAAAGGCCCCUUCGGGGGUACUCGAGUGGCGAACGGGUGGGUAACACGUGAGUAACCUGCCCUUGACUUCGGGAUAACUUCAGGAAACUGGGGCUAAUACCGGAUAGGAAUCCUUGCUGCAUGGUGGGGGUUGGAAAGCUUCGGCGGUUUUGGAUGGACUCGCGGCUUAUCAGCUUGUUGGUGGGGUAGUGGCUUACCAAGGCUUUGACGGGUAGCCGGCCUGAGAGGGCGACCGGCCACAUUGGGACUGAGAUACGGCCCAGACUCCUACGGGAGGCAGCAGUGGGGAAUAUUGCACAAUGGGCGGAAGCCUGAUGCAGCAACGCCGCGUGCGGGAUGACGGCCUUCGGGUUGUAAACCGCUUUCAGCAGGGGCGAAGCUUGUGGUGACGGUACCUGCAGAAGAAGCACCGGCUAACUACGUG
RNAcentral lists this ribosomal RNA (465 nucleotides) under uncultured bacterium. Its description in RNAcentral is "partial 16S ribosomal RNA". It matches the Rfam family "Bacterial small subunit ribosomal RNA", at positions 28 to 507 of the family's 1533-position model. The record is from RNAcentral.